AGGGAAGAGGCCUGAGGCGAGGGCACGCGAAGAGGCCGAGCGGCAGCGCCAGGAGCGGGAGAAACAUUUCCAGCGUGAGGAGCAGGAGCGGCUGGAGAGGAAGAAGCGCCUGGAGGAGAUCAUGAAGAGGACGCGCAAAGUCAGGACGCGGGAGAUGCCAAGAAGAAGGAGGACAAGAAGAUAAUGAACGGGAAGGCAGCCGAGCAGGAGGAUGUCACAGGCCGUGAGAAGCGAGCGGGGCCAAUGCCCAAGGCCGAGGAGCUCCCUGAGACUGGAGACGCCGAGCACGGGGACGCCGGGGACGCUGAAGGGCCCCUCGGGCGAGGGGCUGCAGCCGAGCUCCCCGACCAAGGAGGUGGCGGCGCCUGUGGUGAACGGUGUGCAGCCCGGCAAGCACGAGAACGGCUUCUCCGGCACCGAGGGCUCCCCGGAGCUGCUGGAGCUCUCCCACCACAGCAGCAGCCCCGGCAGCAUCAUCCCCUUCAGGCGACAAGGAGCCCUUCCUCAAGCAAGCCGUGGUCAAACCCCCCCAGGUCACAGGUGAGAGACGCGGGGGGCUGCGUGGGGGGCGACGCCAGUUGCAGCCGCCCCGGCUCUAACGGUGCUUCUUUCUCUCCUCAUCCCCACAGAAGUGCUCUGAGGGCCCGGCCAUGGCUGAUGUCCCCGCGGGGCCACCUCGCACGUGCCACCAGCGGCCCCCCACAGCCCCGUAGCUGUUGUCAGAACAAACACCGCGCUGCUCCCCUCCGCCCGCCGCCCACACCCGGCCCCGCCACGAGGAGCCCGGGCGGCGCCAGGCCCCCUGCCCGCACCGGGGCCUCCUGGUUUCUCUCUCGGUUCUCGUUUUUAUUUCAUUUUAUUAUUUUAUUUUAUUUUUUUUUUUAA
This 885-nucleotide long non-coding RNA is filed under the name Anas platyrhynchos (mallard). Its description in RNAcentral is "lncRNA (ENSAPLG00020010851.1)". Lineage: Eukaryota; Metazoa; Chordata; Aves; Anseriformes; Anatidae. The record is from RNAcentral.